RNAcentral lists this ribosomal RNA (433 nucleotides) under uncultured bacterium. RNAcentral describes it as "partial 16S ribosomal RNA". It matches the Rfam family "Bacterial small subunit ribosomal RNA", at positions 29 to 507 of the family's 1533-position model. The record is from RNAcentral.
AACGAACGCUGGCGGCAUGCCUAACACAUGCAAGUCGAACGAGACCUUCGGGUCUAGUGGCGCACGGGUGCGUAACGCGUGGGAACCUGCCCUUAGGUUCGGAAUAACUCCCCGAAAGGGGUGCUAAUACCGGAUAAUGUCUUCGGACCAAAGAUUUAUCGCCUUUGGAUGGGCCCGCGUUGGUUUAGCUAGUUGGUAGGGUAAAAGCCUACCAAGGCGACGAUCCAUAGCUGGUCUGAGAGGAUGAUCAGCCACACUGGGACUGAGACACGGCCCAGACUCCUACGGGAGGCAGCAGUGGGGAAUAUUGGACAAUGGGCGAAGGCCUGAUGCAGCAAUGCCGCGUGAGUGAUGAAGGCCUUAGGGUUGUAAAGCUCUUUUACCCGGGAUGAUAAUGACAGUACCGGGAGAAUAAGCACCGGCUAACUCCGUG